Molecule: ribosomal RNA, 253 nt
Filed under: uncultured bacterium
Lineage: Bacteria
Description: partial 16S ribosomal RNA
Rfam family: Bacterial small subunit ribosomal RNA
Source: RNAcentral
UACAGAGGGUGCAAGCGUUAAUCGGAAUUACUGGGCGUAAAGCGCACGUAGGUGGCGACGUAAGUCGGGUGUGAAAGCUCCGGGCUCAACCUGGGAAUUGCAUUCGAGACUGCAUUGCUGGAGUACGGAAGAGGAGGGCGGAAUUCCCGGUGUAGCGGUGAAAUGCGUAGAUAUCGGGAGUAACAUCAGUGGCGAAGGCGUCCCUCUGUUCCAGUACUGACAAUCAAGUGCGAAAGCGUGGUGAUCAAACAGG